Molecule: long non-coding RNA, 316 nt
Filed under: Equus asinus (donkey)
Lineage: Eukaryota; Metazoa; Chordata; Mammalia; Perissodactyla; Equidae
Description: lncRNA (ENSEASG00005034099.1)
Source: RNAcentral
CUCGGGGCUUAUUCCCUUACUUGGGAGGAAAGAGGAACCAAGAGACAGAAGGGGGACCGAAGCUGGCGUCUGGGCGUCUUCCCGCCCGCGCAGCCCUCUCGGGGAGGGGGAUGGCAGCCCGAGUCGGCGCCGCGCAGCUCGGGCGGCCCGGUUGGGGUCCGGCAGCCCUGGGGGCUUCCGCUUGCUCCGGAAUCCGCGGCUCCAAAGCAGCCUGUGUCGGCUGCCCGCUACUACGGCACUGCGGCGCCCUGCCCGUAGCAGCUUGGUGAAGACUCUGAGCCUCGAAUCACACAGCUGAUAAGUGGCAAAAUCUGAC